Molecule: long non-coding RNA, 1464 nt
Filed under: Durio zibethinus
Lineage: Eukaryota; Viridiplantae; Streptophyta; Magnoliopsida; Malvales; Malvaceae
Description: long non-coding RNA (DZIB_LNC001601)
Source: RNAcentral
GAACAAAAAAUGUGAAGGAUUUGCUUGAAGAUCUUGAAUUUAGGGAAAUUAAUGAUUUGAUGAUUUUGAAAUUUCUUGAGACCUAAUUCAUGCAAUCAUAGAAUUAAUUCACAAUCAAAUCAAAUCAAAUUAGAAAAAAUCUUAAAUUUGAUUGAAUUGAUUUGCCUUUCAAAUUGAAAGGAUUCAAUCACUAUAAACAGAUAGAACAAUCACGAGGAAGGGAGUGCCUAAUAGCAAUUCACUUCACAAUCAAUUCAGAGGCAAUUGAGAAUUCUUGGGCAAAGUUUUAUCAAACUGAGGCAAUUAGCGGCAACUCAGAGCCAAAAUCAGGGGUCAUAAGGCUAUCAAGAAUUCAAAACACCAAGCGGUCCUUAGUCUCCAUCACAGCGAGCCAACUGAGACCAAUCUUUACACAUCCGCACGAAGUCUGCAAGUCCAUCAAGCAGUGUCCACCCAUAAGCAAAAACAAAGAAAAGAUUAUACAAGGGCAAUCAAAGAGGAAGCCAUCGGCAAAACAGAGGGAGGAGCAAUUAACAGAGAAAAUAAUCAAGAAAGAUUAUUCAGCAAAGAAGCAAUUCUCAGCAAAUCCAAGCCAAAAAAGAAAAAAAAGCAAUUCAGCAUUAAGCCAACAAGCAAUUCUUAGGCAAUAAUCCAGAGCCUAAACCCAAAAAUCUCAUCCGGCGAUCAAUCAAUUCCCAGGAAGCCAGCAGCCUAGAAUCAACCCCAAAAGAGACACGAAAAAUCCUGGCAAACCAAACAGAGCAGAGGAAGCAUCAAAUAAUCCAGCAACCAAACACAAAAUCCAGAAAAUCCAUAUCCAGACACCAUCAAGCCAUAAACCUGCAAACAACUCCACAGACACCCACAAACACUAGACCAAAACCCAACAGAUCAAAUCACCAAUUUCCACUCAAGCCGAUCCUGCCAUCGUCCUUAAUCUCCUGCGAAACGGCCAACUCCUGUCAAUAAUUUAAAAAAAAAAAGUCAGAAACAAAAGAAGACCAUAAGUAAAGAACAUCAAAAUCGGCAGAGGAAGUUGAAUAAAGAAGUUGCUAGAAAUCCUUGGAGUUUCGGUUAGAACGAAGAAUCUACGUUGCUGAAGGAAAAAAACUGGUAGUGAUAGGCUGGUGAAGAAAGGCGGCGAACGAGCUUGGCGGCCAGCAGCCGGCAGCGACAACAGCGGCGACUCACUGGAUUCUGGAAAAGAACUGGUUAAUUUCUGUGUUUGAGAGCAGCAAAUUACAGAAAAGGGAGAAAUUUAGGGCUAGAGAGAGAAACAAAAAUGGGAAAAUGGAGGAAGUAGUCUGAUUUUUGGAUUAAAUAGAAAGGCAAAACGGCAUAGUUUUGGAUAGUAAGGAAUCUGGUUCCUUUCACCUAUCUAAGACCCGCGUUUUAUUUCUGAACCGACCCAGCCCAGUUGCGUCUGACCCAUUUCAGACCAAUUUCAGUAGAAUGCACCAGCUC